This is a long non-coding RNA of Anopheles merus, 748 nucleotides long. RefSeq lists it as uncharacterized. The record is from RefSeq and is a predicted model, not a curated record. NCBI's taxonomy places the organism in Eukaryota, Metazoa, Arthropoda, Insecta, Diptera, Culicidae. The transcript has 2 exons.
ACAAGUAAGCACUGCAAAAGAAACGAGCAAAACGACCGUUUUGCUACAGAAAGAUACAGUAUGUAUGCGUGUAAAGAGAGCGUUUUGGUGAAAGUUUUGGAAAUUCGCAUACUUCGUGCCAAUGAGACAACCGUUCCAACAUGAGAGUCGCACGCAGCAGUCCAUGAAGGUUCACCCGUACCAAAAGGGUACGGCGGGAAGGUCUCGCAGGGAAGUAGGUCACCACCGAUCGACGAAGCAGACAAGAUCCCGAUCCCGGCGAAUCUCGUGAACCGAGUCCAAUACAUUUUUGGGUAGCCAGUAGGUGUGAGUGUGCGCAGGCGAAAUAUAAUAUGCAGUAUCUCGAAAAAGGAGUCCGGGUGAUAUGUGCCAAAAAUGUGCCGAAACUACACCAGUCAAAAUAGCUCCGAUUCCACUUAGAAAAGCGAAAUAAUCUCGCUAUGACGUGAUGCUAGAGGAAUGUGUAAACAAUCGAAAGUGAAACAUCUGGCUAGCACUGGGAGGAAAAUGCCAAUCCAUAUUAUCAAAAGGUCCGCGCAGCAAAAAUGACACCAACGAUGAAUGAAUUGUAAACAUUGGCUCGAAAAGCUAACAAACACAUCGACACGAUGUGUCGAAUUAAUCUACAUCGAAAGUCUCUUUUUCUGAUCAGCUCCCCGCACUAUACGAAAUCCUAUAUUAUGCCCUCCCACAUCGACCUGUCCUGUACAGGAUGUUGAAAAAUAAAACUUUUCCUCACAGCUUCUCA